RNAcentral lists this ribosomal RNA (615 nucleotides) under bacterium. RNAcentral describes it as "bacterial SSU rRNA". It matches the Rfam family "Bacterial small subunit ribosomal RNA", at positions 142 to 770 of the family's 1533-position model. The record is from RNAcentral.
GAUAAGCGUUGGAAACGACGUCUAAUACUGGAUAUGACUGCCGGCCGCAUGGUCUGGUGGUGGAAAGAUUUUUUGGUUGGGGAUGGACUCGCGGCCUAUCAGCUUGUUGGUGAGGUAAUGGCUCACCAAGGCGACGACGGGUAGCCGGCCUGAGAGGGUGACCGGCCACACUGGGACUGAGACACGGCCCAGACUCCUACGGGAGGCAGCAGUGGGGAAUAUUGCACAAUGGGCGAAAGCCUGAUGCAGCAACGCCGCGUGAGGGAUGACGGCCUUCGGGUUGUAAACCUCUUUUAGUAGGGAAGAAGCGAAAGUGACGGUACCUGCAGAAAAAGCACCGGCUAACUACGUGCCAGCAGCCGCGGUAAUACGUAGGGUGCAAGCGUUGUCCGGAAUUAUUGGGCGUAAAGAGCUCGUAGGCGGUUUGUCGCGUCUGCUGUGAAAUCCCGAGGCUCAACCUCGGGCUUGCAGUGGGUACGGGCAGACUAGAGUGCGGUAGGGGAGAUUGGAAUUCCUGGUGUAGCGGUGGAAUGCGCAGAUAUCAGGAGGAACACCGAUGGCGAAGGCAGAUCUCUGGGCCGUAACUGACGCUGAGGAGCGAAAGCAUGGGGAGCG